CUUUUGAUUAUAAUUUAAGGUCUAGCCUGCCCAAUGAUAAAUAUUUAAUGGCCGCGGUAUCUUAACCGUGCAAAGGUAGCAUAAUAAUUAGUUUUUUGAUUGAAAGCUUGUAUGAAAGGUUGAAUGAAAAAAUAACUGUCUCUAUUUAAAUUAUUUAGAAUUUUAUUUUUAAGUAAAAAAGCUUAAAUAUAUGUAAAAGACGAGAAGACCCUAUAGAGUUUGAUAGUUUUUUUUUUUUUUUUUUUUUAAAANNNUAUAAUUUUUAAUUUGAAAGAUUAUUUAAUUGGGGUGAUUAAAAAAUAUAUAAAACUUUUUUUUUAUUAUUACAUUUAUUUAUGAAAUUUUGAUCCUUUUUUUAAGAUUAAAAGAUUAAAUUACCUUAGGGAUAACAGCGUAAUUUUUUUUGAGAGUUCAAAUCGAUAAAAGAGAUUGCGACCUCGAUGUUGGAUUAAAA
This 454-nucleotide ribosomal RNA is filed under the name Leiosoma deflexum. Its description in RNAcentral is "partial 16S ribosomal RNA". The record is from RNAcentral. Lineage: Eukaryota; Metazoa; Arthropoda; Insecta; Coleoptera; Curculionidae.